Molecule: ribosomal RNA, 494 nt
Filed under: uncultured bacterium
Lineage: Bacteria
Description: partial 16S ribosomal RNA
Rfam family: Bacterial small subunit ribosomal RNA
Source: RNAcentral
GACGAACGCUGGCGGCGUGCUUAACACAUGCAAGUCGAACGGUGAAGCGCCUUCCUUUUUGGUGGGUGUGGAUGAGUGGCGAACGGGUGAGUAACACGUGAGUAACCUGCCCCCUUCUUCUGGAUAACCGCAUGAAAGUGUGGCUAAUACGGGAUAUUCUGGGUCUGUCGCAUGAUGGGUCUGGGAAAGAUAUUGUUUCGGUGGGGGAUGGGCUCGCGGCCUAUCAGCUUGUUGGUGGGGUGAUGGCCUACCAAGGCGGUGACGGGUAGCCGGCCUGAGAGGGUGGACGGUCACACUGGGACUGAGACACGGCCCAGACUCCUACGGGAGGCAGCAGUGGGGAAUAUUGCACAAUGGGCGCAAGCCUGAUGCAGCGACGCCGCGUGAGGGAUGGAGGCCUUCGGGUUGUGAACCUCUUUCGCCAGUGAAGCAGGCCUGCCUCGUUUGUGGGUGGGGUGACGGUAGCUGGAUAAGAAGCGCCGGCUAACUACGUG